RNAcentral lists this microRNA (22 nucleotides) under Ovis aries (sheep). RNAcentral describes it as "miRNA 3". The record is from RNAcentral. Lineage: Eukaryota; Metazoa; Chordata; Mammalia; Artiodactyla; Bovidae.
UCCCUGUCUUCAAUCCUGUAGU